Molecule: ribosomal RNA, 253 nt
Filed under: uncultured bacterium
Lineage: Bacteria
Description: partial 16S ribosomal RNA
Rfam family: Bacterial small subunit ribosomal RNA
Source: RNAcentral
UACGUAGGUGGCAAGCGUUGUCCGGAAUUAUUGAGCGUAAAGCGCGCGCAGGCGGUUCCUUAAGUCUGAUGUGAAAGCCCCCGGCUCAACCGGGGAGGGUCAUUGGAAACUGGGGAACUUGAGUACUGAAGAGGAAAGCGGAAUUCCACGUGUAGCGGUGAAAUGCGUAGAGAUGUGGAGGAACACCAGUGGCGAAGGCGGCUUUCUGGUCAGUAACUGACGCUGAGGCGCGAAAGCGUGGGGAGCAAACAGG